Molecule: ribosomal RNA, 465 nt
Filed under: uncultured bacterium
Lineage: Bacteria
Description: partial 16S ribosomal RNA
Rfam family: Bacterial small subunit ribosomal RNA
Source: RNAcentral
GACGAACGCUGGCGGCGUGCUUAACACAUGCAAGUCGUACGGUAAGGCCCUUUCGGGGGUACACGAGUGGCGAACGGGUGAGUAACACGUGAGUAACCUGCCCACAACUUUGGGAUAACGCUAGGAAACUGGUGCUAAUACUGGAUAUGUGCUCCUGCUGCAUGGUGGGGGUUGGAAAGCUCCGGCGGUUGUGGAUGGACUCGCGGCCUAUCAGCUUGUUGGUGGGGUAGUGGCCUACCAAGGCGGCGACGGGUAGCCGGCCUGAGAGGGUGACCGGCCACAUUGGGACUGAGAUACGGCCCAGACUCCUACGGGAGGCAGCAGUGGGGAAUAUUGCACAAUGGGCGCAAGCCUGAUGCAGCAACGCCGCGUGCGGGAUGACGGCCUUCGGGUUGUAAACCGCUUUCAGCAGGGACGAAGCUUUUUGUGACGGUACCUGCAUAAGAAGCACCGGCUAACUACGUG